Molecule: transfer RNA, 75 nt
Filed under: Opitutaceae bacterium
Lineage: Bacteria; Pseudomonadati; Verrucomicrobiota; Opitutia; Opitutales; Opitutaceae
Also listed under: 3 other names
Description: tRNA-Lys
Rfam family: tRNA
About the family: Transfer RNA (tRNA) molecules are approximately 80 nucleotides in length.
Source: RNAcentral
GGGUCGAUAGCUCAACGGUAGAGCAGCAUCCUUUUAAGUUGUUGGUUCCGGGUUCGAAUCCCGGUCGACCCACCA